This 450-nucleotide ribosomal RNA is filed under the name uncultured bacterium. RNAcentral describes it as "bacterial SSU rRNA". It matches the Rfam family "Bacterial small subunit ribosomal RNA", at positions 8 to 462 of the family's 1533-position model. The record is from RNAcentral.
AGAGUUUGAUCCUGGCUCAGAUUGAACGCUGGCGGCAUGCCUUACACAUGCAAGUCGAACGGCAGCGGACCUUCGGGUGCCGGCGAGUGGCGAACGGGUGAGUAAAGCAUCGGAACGUACCCGGAAGUGGGGGAUAACUAUCCGAAAGGAUAGCUAAUACCGCAUAUUCUGUGCGCAGGAAAGCAGGGGACCGCAAGGCCUUGUGCUUCCGGAGCGGCCGAUGUCAGAUUAGCUAGUUGGUGAGGUAAAGGCUCACCAAGGCGACGAUCUGUAGCGGGUCUGAGAGGAUGAUCCGCCACACUGGAACUGAGACACGGUCCAGACUCCUACGGGAGGCAGCAGUGGGGAAUUUUGGACAAUGGGCGAAAGCCUGAUCCAGCAAUGCCGCGUGAGUGAAGAAGGCCUUCGGGUUGUAAAGCUCUUUUGUCAGGGAAGAAACGGUGCGGGCUA